CACAGAGAGUGCAAACGUUGUUCGGAAUUACUGGGCUUGAAGCGCACGUAGGCGGCGUUGUAAGUGUCGGGUGAAAUCCCACGGCUCACCCGUGGAACUGCCCGGCAUACUGCGAUGCUAGAGUGUGGUAGGGGAGAGCGGAACUCCUGGUGGAGCGGUGAAAUGCGUAGAUAUCAGGAGGAACACCGGUGGCGAAGGCGGCUCUCUGGGCCGUAACUGACGCUGAGGAGCGAAAGCGUGGGGAGCGAACAGG
Molecule: ribosomal RNA, 253 nt
Filed under: uncultured bacterium
Lineage: Bacteria
Description: partial 16S ribosomal RNA
Rfam family: Bacterial small subunit ribosomal RNA
Source: RNAcentral